This 88-nucleotide transfer RNA is filed under the name Oscillospiraceae bacterium. RNAcentral's name for it is "tRNA-Leu". It matches the Rfam family "tRNA". From Rfam's summary of the family: Transfer RNA (tRNA) molecules are approximately 80 nucleotides in length. Their secondary structure includes four short double-helical elements and three loops (D, anti-codon, and T loops). Lineage: Bacteria; Bacillati; Bacillota; Clostridia; Eubacteriales; Oscillospiraceae. The record is from RNAcentral.
GCACCCAUGGCGGAACUGGCAGACGCGCUAGAUUCAGGUUCUAGUCGGCAAUACGCCGGUGGAGGUUCAAGUCCUCUUGGGUGCACCA